AUACGGAGGGUGCGAGCGUUAAUCGGAAUUACUGGGCGUAAAGCGGGCGUAGGCGGUUUGCUAAGUCAGAUGUGAAAGCCCCGGGCUUAACCUGGGAACUGCAUUUGAUACUGGCAGACUAGAGUAUGAUAGAGGGGGGUAGAAUUCCUGGUGUAGCGGUGAAAUGCGUAGAUAUCAGGAGGAAUACCAGUGGCGAAGGCGGCCCCCUGGAUCAAUACUGACGCUGAGGUACGAAAGCGUGGGGAGCGAACAGGAUUAGAAACCCUAGUAGUCC
Molecule: ribosomal RNA, 274 nt
Filed under: uncultured bacterium
Lineage: Bacteria
Description: partial 16S ribosomal RNA
Rfam family: Bacterial small subunit ribosomal RNA
Source: RNAcentral